Molecule: transfer RNA, 68 nt
Filed under: Araneus ventricosus
Lineage: Eukaryota; Metazoa; Arthropoda; Arachnida; Araneae; Araneidae
Description: tRNA-Ala
Source: RNAcentral
UUGGAGCGCCGGUAUCGAUCCGGCUCUCGCAUGCUAAGCGAGCGCUCUACCAUCUGAGCUACGCCCCU